RNAcentral lists this ribosomal RNA (309 nucleotides) under Stomatopoda sp. USNM IZ 1449998. RNAcentral describes it as "SSU rRNA". It matches the Rfam family "Eukaryotic small subunit ribosomal RNA", at positions 82 to 384 of the family's 1831-position model. The record is from RNAcentral. Lineage: Eukaryota; Metazoa; Arthropoda; Malacostraca; Stomatopoda.
UGAAACCGCGAAUGGCUCAUUAAAUCAGCUGUGGUUUAUUGGACCUUACCCACCUACCUGGAUAACUGUGGUAAUUCUAGAGCUAAUACAUGCACCCAAGCUCCGACCGAAAGGGAAGAGCGCUUUUAUUAGACCAAAACCAAUCGGGCCUCGGUCCGUUUAACUUGGUGACUCUGAAUAACUUUGAGCUGAGCGCACGGCCCUGGCGCCGGCGCCGUAUCUUUCAAGUGUCUGCCUUAUCAGCUUUCGAUUGUAGGCUAUGCGCCUACAAUGGCUAUAACGGGUAACGGGGAAUCAGGGUUCGAUUCC